CUCCAACCAUCUUGUUUGUCUCUUUUCCUUCUCAGAUACCCGCCCUGAACAAACAACAUGCUCGGAUAAGGCAGCAGGCAUGUUUGCAGCCUUCUCAAAGACAACUGGAUCAUUAAUGCGACGAUCCUGAUUCCUUUCCUUUCAACUGUAGUUUCUUCUCUCUGAUGAAGUCAUGAGCUCACUUCUUGACUUUCGGUCCCAUUCC
RNAcentral lists this long non-coding RNA (205 nucleotides) under Fukomys damarensis (Damara mole-rat). RNAcentral's name for it is "lncRNA (ENSFDAG00000031704.1)". The record is from RNAcentral. Lineage: Eukaryota; Metazoa; Chordata; Mammalia; Rodentia; Bathyergidae.